This 970-nucleotide long non-coding RNA is filed under the name Bemisia tabaci. Its description in RNAcentral is "lncRNA ENSSSA3NGG003249". The record is from RNAcentral. Lineage: Eukaryota; Metazoa; Arthropoda; Insecta; Hemiptera; Aleyrodidae.
UUGGAAAUAGAGCUGGAUGAGAAGAAAGAGAAGUUUUUCAUGCUGGAAGAAGAUUUUGACAAAUACCAAAGACAUGCAGAAUUGCUUGCCAAUGAAAAUAUGAGUCUCAAAGAAGAGCGGUCAAACCUACUCACACAGAUUCAUAGUGGACGAGAAAAGAUUUUUGAUUUGGAAGAGAAGAUUAAUUCUUUGCACAAAAAAGUCUCUGAAUUACAAAGUCAUCUCACGAAUGCUGAAACAGAGUAUAGACAGAAAGAAAUAAAGUAUGAUUCCACAGUUCAACAACAAAACAAGUUGAUAAACUUCCUCCAAAAUCACAUCGAUGGUUUAAAGAAAAAGAAGAGAACCUUUGCAGAAAAAUUGCUGAGAUCUCCCAACAAAGAAAAUCUUGAUCACAAAGUUCCCUCAACAAUAACCACAUCUGGCUUCCGACAACCAAACUCGAUGACCACAAAAACUCUCAGUCUUGGGAAAGAAUCUUGUUACCGAGGAAACUUACCUGGACUUGGAGAAAAUAAAAAACGAAUGACUAAUCCUUUAUCCGACAAAAAUAUUAAGACAACAGAGGAUGGAAAGAAUUCGAGUGCAUCUGAUAAACAGAAAAUGAUGCCCAAAGGAUCACUUUCUAAACCAGUAGUUCCAGCAAAAACAUAUGAGUUGAAACAAAGCAGCUUGCCACAAUGCUACAAAGGAGAGAUUCUACGGUUUUUUGACAAGACAGAAAAACUGCAAAUCAAUUGUAUUGAGCAAAUAAAGGAUUCGUUAUACCUCCUGGGUUGCGAUGAAGGUUUAUUCUCAUUCCGCACGCUUCCCACAGAAAGGAAGCAAAUAGUCAAAAUCUCUGGAGUUUCCUUUGUCACACAAAUCGCUCUUUGAGGAAGUUAGAUAUGGCGCUUCUGAUUUCUGGUAUUUCAUAAUUUUUGUCACUGCAAUUGAGCUAAGGACAUUUUUUUUUUUUUUGAUAUAGCUG